RNAcentral lists this ribosomal RNA (438 nucleotides) under bacterium gwi17. RNAcentral's name for it is "bacterial SSU rRNA". It matches the Rfam family "Bacterial small subunit ribosomal RNA", at positions 50 to 499 of the family's 1533-position model. The record is from RNAcentral.
AACACAUGCAAGUCGAACGAUGAUCCGGUGCUUGCAUCGGGGAUUAGUGGCGAACGGGUGAGUAACACGUGAGUAACCUGCCCUUAACUCUGGGAUAAGCCUGGGAAACUGGGUCUAAUACCGGAUAUGACUCCUCAUCGCAUGGUGGGGGGUGGAAAGCUUUUUUGUGGUUUUGGAUGGACUCGCGGCCUAUCAGCUUGUUGGUGAGGUAAUGGCUUACCAAGGCGACGACGGGUAGCCGGCCUGAGAGGGUGACCGGCCACACUGGGACUGAGACACGGCCCAGACUCCUACGGGAGGCAGCAGUGGGGAAUAUUGCACAAUGGGCGCAAGCCUGAUGCAGCGACGCCGCGUGAGGGAUGACGGCCUUCGGGUUGUAAACCUCUUUCAGUAGGGAAGAAGCGAAAGUGACGGUACCUGCAGAAGAAGCGCCGGCUA